UGCAUCAGCAGGCAGACUCUCAACCACUGUGCCACCAGGGAAGCCCUCAAGCGAACAUUUUAAAGAGUGGACCUGGGCACAUGCAAGUGGCCUUGUAAAUUCGUUUCUGAUGGAGAGGAGCUGGAAGACUCCACCAAGGACAAGCUGCUUUGAGGAUUUAACAGCUUGGAAAGUUGUUGGAUGCCAGUGGACUUGCCUGGAAACCCAUCAAUCUUGGCCUUUCAGAGGACAUCUUCAACAGAAUUUAUUUGCCAGGUAAGUCAUGAAGAUUGGGAUUUGCCCUCAAAUUUCCCUUCCAGGCUGCUCUUCAAAUGAAUAGUUCCCAAUCCAAAAGAGACCACAGUUGUCUUAGAUGUGUACAUUUUAAAAUCUGAGUUUACUGCUUUUUCUUAGUUUUACAGUCUCCACUAUAAGCCACUAUUAAUCUGACUAGGUUUUGCUACUCCUACAAAUUUGAAUCUGGUAAUGACUAACACUGAACUCAAUAAGGAGUGAGGAGAAUUUCAGAACAUUUGGCUUUGUUUUAAAGGGCAAGAUUUUGGAAGCAGGCUCACCAGACUCCAUCCAGAUCCAUUUUCCUGGCACAUAACUAGUAGGACUCUGCCCGGGCUCCAGGUGAGAGGAAAGGGCAGGAGAGGGUACUUACUUCCUGUGAGCCUGGCACGGGGACCAAGAGUGACUUAGGACUCCAGGUGCCAGACCCCCACAGCACAAUGGCCUUUGGAUGCCUCUGCGUGUCCUGGAAAGGAGAGGUGGCUCCUUUCCAAGGCAGGAUGGGGCUGGUAGGGGUUUUGGGAACAGGCAGGAGUCCAGGAGCUGAUGGCCACCAUAGCUCCCUGCACUCACGGGGCCUGCUGUCAGCUCUGCUUCCCCCUGAUUUCAUUCAUGGGAGGAUGCAGAUCCUGCAUACAGACUGGGCUUUCGGUAAAGGUUAAUCCCCAAGCCUCCCUCUGCUUGAAAGAAGAAUAUGUAACUCGGCCAGGCUUAUUUCUCACCCUGUGUCAGUGUUCACCUUGAUCAUGAAAUAGGAUUUCUGAAUCAAUUGCACAUCAGACCCAGCUGGGUCUUGACUCACUGCCUGAGUUUUCCAUGUCUUUUUGGGGGGGAAGCAAACCUCUCGCUUGGUGAAUGCUUUCUGAUUGUUCAUCUUUUUCCAUUUGGUGUUUUGCUUUGGAAAUUCGGGGCACAGUAGAAGUGUCUGUACCUGCGUUUGUGUUAGGAGUUUAAAAAUAUAACCCUGAUUUUUGGUAAAGGAGAAAAGAUUGG
Non-coding RNA from Delphinapterus leucas (beluga whale), 1266 nucleotides. The record is from RefSeq and is a predicted model, not a curated record. Lineage: Eukaryota; Metazoa; Chordata; Mammalia; Artiodactyla; Monodontidae.